Molecule: non-coding RNA, 601 nt
Organism: Epinephelus lanceolatus (giant grouper)
Lineage: Eukaryota; Metazoa; Chordata; Actinopteri; Perciformes; Serranidae
Source: RefSeq, a predicted model, not a curated record
AGGGCUGAGCAGGAGCAGGAAGCAGCUCCUGCAUGACUUACUUAGUCUAGAGGUUUAGAGGACAAGAACCAGCAGAAGAAAAAGAGGGGAUUGGACGUGGGAGAGAAAGGGGAGGAAAAAAAGACAGUAAGGACUGUGAGGGAAGCUUUUCCUCCGCUUCACAGUUGGUUGCAUUCUGGUCUGUGUAAAGAACACGUUUGAUCAGCCUGUGCUGCCUACCAGAUCUCCUGUGGCCCAAAGGUGAUGGUGUCAUCCUGACUUGUUUUUCUCGUGACCCGGGAGUCCCUAAACCCCGAACCGUAUAGCUUUGGAAAACCCUGGAAAUACCUGGAAUUCUAGGAGUAUAUCACCAAAACUUCUUAAGGUGCCCAGGCACUGGAUCAAUAGCUUUACAUUCUCCUUUAUUAUUUUUUUCUGUAUACAAAGAAAGAGACGAAAGUCUGAACGUUAGCAAUAGCCGCUGGCCAUCCACCAUUGCUCCGACGAACCUGCUGUGACCGAGAGGGCGUGACCUUUCUGCCUGCUGACUUCAAACAGACACUUGAAAAGAAAACGCAGUCGGAGAGGUUUCCGCGUGGUGGCAACUCAGACCAAAAACCCC